GUCUUGGUAGUUCAGUGAUAGAAUUCUCGUCCUUUAUGCAGAAGACCCAGGUUCGAUUCCUGGCUAACGUA
RNAcentral lists this transfer RNA (71 nucleotides) under Loxodonta africana (African savanna elephant). It matches the Rfam family "tRNA". From Rfam's summary of the family: Transfer RNA (tRNA) molecules are approximately 80 nucleotides in length. Their secondary structure includes four short double-helical elements and three loops (D, anti-codon, and T loops). Further hydrogen bonds mediate the characteristic L-shaped molecular structure. tRNAs have two regions of fundamental functional importance: the anti-codon, which is responsible for specific mRNA codon recognition, and the 3' end, to which the tRNAs corresponding amino acid is attached (by aminoacyl-tRNA synthetases). tRNAs cope with the degeneracy of the genetic code in two manners: having more than one tRNA (with a specific anti-codon) for a particular amino acid; and 'wobble' base-pairing, i.e. permitting non-standard base-pairing at the 3rd anti-codon position. Lineage: Eukaryota; Metazoa; Chordata; Mammalia; Proboscidea; Elephantidae. The record is from Rfam by way of RNAcentral.